GUAAUUGUCUGUGGUCAUGCUAAAAUUAAUUCUGUUUGCAAUAACUUAAUAGAAAAGUAGUGUACUUUCCAGGCCUUCACAGGCAGACCUUCUAAAAUGGAAAUUAAAAUGUGGAGGGAGCAUUCAUGUUCUUUGCAAAUGAGAGAAAAUCUGGCAAGGGAUCAUGGAGAAAAACAGAAAGCUUCGGUUUAGAAGUCUUUCCUAGGCAUCUUUUACCUCAAAGGGUAGGAAAGCUGUGCUUGGUCUUUGAAACAGCUGUGAAACCUUCCGCCAGGUUUACAGUGCUGCUGGCACAGAAAGAGCAGAACAAGCUACGGACACUGGGCAGUCUCCAUCACAAAGAAAACGUGUUUUUCAAAAAGCAUGCAGCAUCUUCCCACAUUGAAAGGCUUGUUUGAGAAAAAGACACUACAAAAAGGCUGCCUUCAGACUGCAAUAAGGUCACCCUGAAGCCUCCUCUUUUCCAGGCUGAACAAUCUAAACUGCCUUCCUCAUAGGAGAAGCACUUCAUCCCUCUAAUCUUCUUGUUGGCCUUCCUCUGGACUUGCUCCAACAGCUGAAUUAUUGAAGAUAAAAUAUUAGGAUAAAUAAAGCCUACAAUGGAGUUCAAACAGAAGAAAUCUGCUCUCAAGAAAUAUGAAGCAUGCAGAAAUGCCUGACAACAUUCCACACCCUUGUAGGACACCAAGACCACACAGGAUGGAGAUCAUAUGUGAAAUUAAAAUGUAUUCUGAAAAAUCAUAAAGGACAGCACUGCAGCCUUCCCACAAAUGCUCCUACCCUCUGAGGGGAAAGGAAGGAAACACAAAACUGAAAACUAGAUAAAGCAAAGCAGAAAGGACAAAUUCAAUUAACCUCUGCCAGAGAAGGCAUAUUUUCCCUGUUCUUUCAUUAUCAGCUACAGCACUUUCAGUGUACAUUGUCAGAACUUCAACACAGGAGAUUUUGGUAGGCAAAAGUCAAGACUUGCAUCUUAUUACCUUGUCAUCUACAAAGCAGAAAGCCAACAGAGUUUACAACAAUGGUAGGAAUAGAAGCAAACAACAUGAUGCAAAGUCUUGACCUGUAAAACAAUUAAACAUUUUUCUUCACUUCAUAUUUAACAUAUAUUACACAUUGCUGACAUAUAUUUCAUAUUGCUCUGUCAUGCAGCAGAAAAGUGUAAUCAGAUUUCACCACAUUUGGAGUAUGGUCAAAUGGAAGCAAAGUGUAGAUAUAAAAAUGACAUUCACCAGCCAAAGUAAAACAACAAAGUAUUCCAGAUAAAUCAUUUUCAUCAGUUGGAGGUUUGUUGCUUCCUAUGAGGUGAGUAAUGAAGUCUAACACAGCAACAAGCACCCUCACUCUCUGAAAAUGGGCCAACAGCAUAAAAUAUAAGCAAGGUCAGAAACAUUUUCUGAGAACAUUAAAUUAAUUGCAUGCUACUAGAUGUAAAGUCAGUAUCAAUCUAUGAAACAUGGUCAAAAGACUGAAUUCUUUUUGCAGUCAUGCAAGUUUUGGUUUCAUGCUGAGGUGUAAUAAUAGGGUUUAUAAAAAAACUUUGAGGUCUGUAAAUUACAUUUAUUAAGAAAAUAAAGUGCCAGGUUUAGAGACUUUUUGAAAUUCUGUUAUUCAGAAUUUGGAUUACAUAUGGAUUACAUCUUAUGAUACACUGUUUCAUAGGAUGUGGCUAUACAAUUUCAAUUUUAAAUAAAAUUUUAAAAGGACAAACAAAACCAAACCAAAACAAACUGACAUUACUGGGCAGUCACUGCCAGAGCUGUGACUGGAGGUGAAUGCCCCUGCUCUGGAAGUACAGCAUCAUUUCAGUGCAUAGUACCAGCAGCAGAUGAUUUUGCCACAGAGCAUUCUGUUGAUUUUGGUGGAGACAAAACUCAGAGUUUGCUUGAAACACAAAACCCCAGCUAGUUUAGAGGAUCUCUGCACUGUGCAACCAGGAAGCCUAUUGUUUCCUUAAGAUCAGCUACUUGCCUUUUAUUGCUGCUCUCACCUUUUCUUGGGAACUUGGGGAGGGCUCAGGGCAUUUUGAAGGAUUCAUCCAAGUGUCUCAGGGGCAGGAAAUAUCUUCAUGUCCACUAACACAGGUUCCUGGAUAUAAGUGAAUUUUCUGAGAAGCAGGGAGUGGGUUUAUCAGGCACAACUCCUCACUUUUGAAGACAUCACAUCAUACACUGAACUUGCAGGGCUGUGGCAUAAAGAGCUGCAUCCUGGGAUUAUUUACUCACUCUAUUAUCAUGUAGGCCAUGGCAGAAGAAGAAAGGUUACAUUACCUCUUGUAUACUGCGCUAGUGAUAUGACCACACUUAGAGCAUUAUAUCCAGGAAUGACCUUCAGAUUUUAGGAAGAAUAUCAAUAAAUUGGAAAAAAAAGAUAAACUCCCAUGAACAUUCAAAGAAUCAUAAUCUUUGUGUUAAGAAGUUAAUUCAAUGUAGUACUUUGCCAAGAAGCAUACAACCUGGAUAUAAAAGACAAAGAAAGCAGAUUUUUAAAUCUAUCUCCUCUGUUUCUCAAAUUAAGAUAUAAUGAGAUGUGUACAAGUUGUAGACUAAAGGUUAAUAAAUUAAAUAUAAAAAAUUUUGCCAUCUUUAUAACAGAGAGCUAAAUUAGCCAUUGGUAUAACUUAAUAGGCAUUGUUUAUCACUAAAAGAGAUCCAAGGCUUGAGGGUUUUUUCCUAGAAGCAAUGACUACUGAACACUGUGCAUCUUCCAGUCAGAUAUCCCCCACAGUUCUAUAGCUUCUGUGCAAAGAAAGUCAGAACAAGAUGACCAUGGUGGUUCUGACAUCUCACCUCAAAGCUCAUGAACUGAAACACCUAAACAGCAAUAAAGAAACAUUUCAAAUUUUGCUGAGGUCUCCAGAAUGAUAUACAAAUGCAUACCAGAAUACAAAACAAUUGUGUCCUUUUCUGUUCCUUUUCCAAAGUGCCUUGUAAACUAUACACUUACAAAGUAAUAGAGGUUCAGUACCUGUGCUCCAGAGUAUUUUUUUUAUUAGAAAUUUCAGUAAAAAGAAGCAAACAAACUACA
Serinus canaria (Common canary) is the source of this 3027-nucleotide long non-coding RNA. RefSeq lists it as uncharacterized. The transcript is spliced from 5 exons. Lineage: Eukaryota; Metazoa; Chordata; Aves; Passeriformes; Fringillidae. The record is from RefSeq and is a predicted model, not a curated record.